GACGAACGCUGGCGGCGUGCUUAACACAUGCAAGUCGAACGGAAAGGCCCUGCUUUUGUGGGGUGCUUGAGUGGCGAACGGGUGAGUAACACGUGAGUAACCUGCCCUUGACUUUGGGAUAACUUCAGGAAACUGGGGCUAAUACCGGAUAGGAGCUCCUGCUGCAUGGUGGGGGUUGGAAAGUUUCGGCGGUUGGGGAUGGACUCGCGGCUUAUCAGCUUGUUGGUGGGGUAGUGGCUUACCAAGGCUUUGACGGGUAGCCGGCCUGAGAGGGUGACCGGCCACAUUGGGACUGAGAUACGGCCCAGACUCCUACGGGAGGCAGCAGUGGGGAAUAUUGCACAAUGGGCGGAAGCCUGAUGCAGCAACGCCGCGUGCGGGAUGACGGCCUUCGGGUUGUAAACCGCUUUCGCCUGUGACGAAGCGUGAGUGACGGUAAUGGGUAAAGAAGCACCGGCUAACUACGU
Molecule: ribosomal RNA, 467 nt
Filed under: uncultured bacterium
Lineage: Bacteria
Description: partial 16S ribosomal RNA
Rfam family: Bacterial small subunit ribosomal RNA
Source: RNAcentral